AUGAGGUUGAACACCUCCUUCUCAAAAACCUGCUGCUAUAUACUCAUUGAAGUGGAUGCUAUACACAAGCUUGGUUCUUUCUACAAGAAGCACAUGGCCACAGAAAUAUUUGUUGAUACUUAAGUUCACAAGAUUCAGCAUCUUGUUACUCAAUGUGUCCUUCAACACAAAUGAAAUCUCUCUCUCUCUCUCAAAACACAGUACCCUAAGGAAGAUAAAAAUUUGGCUGCAGAAUAUCAUAAACUAUUGGCCAAGAGAGUGAAGGAAGCCAAAGAAAAG
This 279-nucleotide long non-coding RNA is filed under the name Mus musculus (house mouse). RNAcentral's name for it is "long non-coding RNA chrX:40691784-40692063". Lineage: Eukaryota; Metazoa; Chordata; Mammalia; Rodentia; Muridae. The record is from RNAcentral.